Long non-coding RNA from Pseudopipra pipra, 3253 nucleotides. RefSeq lists it as uncharacterized. The transcript is spliced from 2 exons. Lineage: Eukaryota; Metazoa; Chordata; Aves; Passeriformes; Pipridae. The record is from RefSeq and is a predicted model, not a curated record.
UACCCCCCAGGUCUGCCGAGGAAAUGUCCUGCCCAAACACAUUUCGCAGCGAUUUCCCCUCACCGUUCCCGCCCGCAUUCUAGAAAGCAGAAAGCAAGCCAGCAACUGCAUUUUGACAACGCAACAAAGUCACACUUCGCGACAUCCGUGUAUUUCAUCCCCCUUUUAUUUGUUUUCGUAAUUCCCCGCACCCCCGUCACCUUCUUCACAAAACACUUCGCCUUCCUCCUCCCGCCGAAAACCCGGCCGCGACCCCAGCCACUCUUGGAUACAGGUGCGGGGGUAGUUACCCUCUUAAGCUUAAAAGCCUCUUUCUCCUCGUAUAUAAAAUCACUUUCAGAUCAUUCUCGUGCUCGCCAGCGUCAUCAAAACCAACCUUUAACUAAUAGCUCCUAAUCCAAACAGUUUGGGCAAGGCGGACCGUUGUUUAGAGUGGCGGGGUACAAGGAGACUGGCCGGGGGGACGCGGGCGGGUCCUCCCCAGCCGGCUCCCACCGUGAUAACUUGCAGUUGACACACACCGAGGUACAAGCGGAGGGUGAGUGGGCAGAGCCGGUCCUGCCAGAAUAUCUUGCCCGGGGGCAAGCUCCGAUGCUCCCGUAGAAAAAGGUUCUGGCUCACAGGAGCCCCUGCGACUUUGACAGCUGUCGCUUUGGCUGCACAGGAGACGAAUCGCCCUCCUUUUGGUGCCAGAAGAAGCAGGAAAUUAGCCAGGUUGCAAGUUGAAAAUCUGCCACGCCAGUGCUUUGAAUCCAAUAUGCCACACCUUCCAGCGGGGGAACUGGAAAUUGCCAUCCCGGAUCUGUGUUCUAGGCGGCUGCUUAUGCCGAACCUCCGCACACUUUGUUCACUAUUGCCUUACAAAGAACAAAUGAAAUGGGGAUUGAAAGCCAGAGAGAUCCGAAGCAGGACAGAGCUCAGCAAAAGAAUGCGGCUCUAUUCUCGCAAGGGAAAUUAUAAAAAAGUUCAUGUUCACGGUUACCAUCCACAUGACCGACAACGACCAAUGGAAAAACCGAACAACUCAUAAAGUUGUAUUGCAAAGUUGUAAAUUUUCAUAAACAACAACGGAUUUAUGGCCUUUUCCUCAUCACUAAGAAGAGGCAGGUCUUAGAGAGGCGCCAUCUUACCGAAGAGGCAGCCCUAGAGUUUUUUAAAAGACCUGGACUUUGUACUAAUUUUAUUAAAAUUACAAUUAGUACAUUGACCAGGAACGGAGUGUAGUAGAAAAAGGGAACUUCAGCGCAAAUGAUGCUCUGUUUCUACCUGUAUUUAUCCAGCCGAAUAAAGGGAGUUUUCGGGCUAGAUUUUUAAUUUUUAAAUUUUUUUUAAUAUUGAAAAUAUUAGAUCUCAUUGACAUUACGUGAUAUCUAAAGCAGGGGGAUUUUCCCCCAUUUUCUUGCCACCGUGAUGCCCUCCGUCCCCCGAAAGCCGCACGAACAAACAACACACAUACCCGACCAGAUCAUUUACACUUGGAAGUUUUGCAUUGCACUUUCUGUUCAUUACAAAAUAUUAUUUCACCGUAUGCGAUUUCGGCUUGAUCGCCGAUCGCCUGGGCUGGGGUUAUGACUGCAAGAGGACACGGGAACACGGUAGAAGGAAGCCCUCCCAUAAAGAAGGCUUUCCGCUUUAUUAAUCAGCUGCGCUAGGGAAAAAAAAUAGAGAAAUGGACUAAUUUGUGUCAAUUCAUCACCUUGGAUUUUUUCCCCCUCCUGAUUAUCGAGGGGGGGGGGGAAGGAAGGUUUAGAUGGCCUAAUUUCUUUAUUUGUCUGUGUAAGUAAUUUUUUUAAGCUUCCUUCGAACUGGUUCCUUAAUAAAGAAAUACAAUUCAUUGUCAACAAGCAUAUUUAUUUUCUGUGUAACAUAAAACACAUUUAUCGUGGGAGAUAAUUGAACACGGUAUCACUUCCAAAGAGAGUUCACAGACAUUUUUUUUCCCACUUCCAAUACUUACACGGCAUAUCCAAAUGUUCACAACGAACACAUUGAAACACAUUGUAACAUACAAUUUUUGAAUAAACUUUAGCCAAACCUUCAAGACGGAUUUAUACAGAGUUCUUAACAAUACAUCAUGCUACAAAGUUUCCAAAUUACAUACUUUCCAAUUUAUGACAUGAUCUUACAAAUGAGCUCCAAGACGAAUAUAAAUGACAAAAAAAAAAUACAAUAUCUGCUAUUUUAAGAAAAUUCACGGUAUUACAUAUUAACAUAUUUGGAUAAUCAGGACUAAUAUUUUGUGGGGGUUUUCUUAAGGUGAUUUUUAAAGGUUCAAAGAACACUUUCCGCUAUAUUAAGAUCAACCCAGAAUAAGAAAAUGGCCUUUAGCAGAGGCAGCCGAAGGUAGAAACCAACGGGAGAUAUUAAACCGCUUUGUACAAUAUUGGUGUGUGUUUGCUUCCUCACUCGGAAUAGUAAAGAAUCGAGAACAAAGAUAUAUUGCAGCAUAUGGUUUUCAUUUAUAAUUGCUUAGGAAUAAAUAUAUUAUUUUAAAUUUAAAUAUAAUCAGACUUUUCGGUACCAAAUUCUAUACCAAAGCUAUUGAUGCGUGCUUUUCGAAUGACUACACUUACAUUUCUAAAAGCAUUUUGCGAUUCACAUUAGUAAUCUUGUAACAUCCUUUUGACUACUAAAAUACAGUAUACUUUCGAAGAUAGGUAGGCAGAGCAAGAUAUAUAGGUAGGUAGUCUGGAAAAUAGGUAGUACAAAUAAUUGCUGUAGAUUGUAGUGGUUUGUGGAACAUUUCCCCCCCACACACACACUUGCUGUUUAUCUUUUGUAAAUGUAGCUGUUAGUUAUGAUACUUUCCUAACAACAAUUAAAAAAAAAAGAGAAAACAAAAAGAGAAGUGCAGAGCUACUUAUUCAAAAUUAGGUAGUUUUUCUUAAUGUGAGCCUAAUGCACUUUUCCCCUUACACAUGACUGAGACUAUUGAAUCAGGUAGUUACUUCGGAAGGUCACGGUUUGCUAUCUGUGCAAGUAGCAGUUCUCCCACUGAAAUGUCCCCUGGAGACACCCACCCAGUUUUGGGUAAAUGAAGAAAAAAAACAAAAAACAAAAACCACGAAACAACUAAACCCAAAUGAUUGUAGGAUGCUCUUAGGGUAUACUACCAAAAGGUUCGGCACAGGGUAGGUUUGGGGAGUACGGGAGAACAGAGAGGAGGCUGGAAAGCCAUCCCAAGAAAUGUUUUCAUGUUUGCAAAUGCUCGCUUGCAAUAUGAUUAUUAAAGGGAACUGAUUUUUUUUUUUUU